AGGGGUGUAGCCAAGCGGUAAGGCACGGGGCUUUGGACCCCGGAGCGCAGGUUCGAAUCCUGCUACCCCUGCCA
Molecule: transfer RNA, 74 nt
Filed under: Neomoorella thermoacetica
Lineage: Bacteria; Bacillati; Bacillota; Clostridia; Neomoorellales; Neomoorellaceae
Description: Moorella thermoacetica tRNA-Gln
Rfam family: tRNA
About the family: Transfer RNA (tRNA) molecules are approximately 80 nucleotides in length. Their secondary structure includes four short double-helical elements and three loops (D, anti-codon, and T loops).
Source: RNAcentral